RNAcentral lists this ribosomal RNA (787 nucleotides) under uncultured bacterium. RNAcentral describes it as "bacterial SSU rRNA". It matches the Rfam family "Bacterial small subunit ribosomal RNA", at positions 48 to 818 of the family's 1533-position model. The record is from RNAcentral.
GCUAUACAUGCAAGUCGAACGCACAGCGAAAGGUGCUUGCACCUUUCAAGUGAGUGGCGAACGGGUGAGUAACACGUGGAUAACCUACCUCAAGGUUGGGGAUAACAUUUGGAAACAGAUGCUAAUACCGAAUAAAACUUCGUAUCGCAUGAUACAAGGUUAAAAGGCGCUACGGCGUCACCUAGAGAUGGAUCCGCGGUGCAUUAGUUAGUUGGUGGGGUAAAGGCCUACCAAGACAAUGAUGCAUAGCCGAGUUGAGAGACUGAUCGGCCACAUUGGGACUGAGACACGGCCCAAACUCCUACGGGAGGCUGCAGUAGGGAAUCUUCCACAAUGGGCGAAAGCCUGAUGGAGCAACGCCGCGUGUGUGAUGAAGGCUUUCGGGUCGUAAAGCACUGUUGUAUGGGAAGAACAGCUAGAGUAGGGAAUGACUUUAGUUUGACGGUACCAUACCAGAAAGGGACGGCUAAAUACGUGCCAGCAGCCGCGGUAAUACGUAUGUCCCGAGCGUUAUCCGGAUUUAUUGGGCGUAAAGCGAGCGCAGACGGUUGAUUAAGUCUGAUGUGAAAGCCCGGAGCUCAACUCCGGAAAGGCAUUGGAAACUGGUCAACUUGAGUGCAGUAGAGGUAAGUGGAACUCCAUGUGUAGCGGUGGAAUGCGUAGAUAUAUGGAAGACACCAGCGGCGAAGGCGGCUUACUGGACUGUAACUGACGUUGAGGCUCGAAAGUGUGGGUAGCAAACAGGAUUAGAUACCCUGGUAGUCCACACCGUAAACGAUGAACACUA